CUUCCUCUCUGAGAAGUUUGCCUUACUGAUUAUCAAGAGGGUGUAAUUACCCUCCGACUAGACAGUCUAAAUGGAAAACACCUGCAGCUCUCUUCUUCGCAUGGAAACUCAGUCCUGCCUUAAAAGGCACUUACUUCUUUCCAGAAACCUCUCCAUUCAUCCUCAGGACCACAUUUCCAGUUUCCCUCUCCUCAACCUCAAAGUCAAUGCUUCUCAAAGAUAACACUCCUUACCUUGGCCUCCCAAACUCAGUUGUUACCAUAUAUCCAUAUAUUCCCUGUACAAGUUAACAGAAAAUCAUCUACUGAAUUCCUGGGAGUGGAAACUUGGGAGGCGUCCUGGAGGUCACUGGUCCGAUCCAGGGCAUCAGAGAGGAGAGUCCAACCCAGCCGGCUCUGCUUGGCCAGACUUCUUGUUUUUCAAACAACUCUGCCUCUGAAGGUCUCUGGCAGGACACGCAUCCCCGGGCUGCCCCGGCCCCCACCACUUGGCCCCCACCUGACGCUCCACACCUCACACAUUUCUGAGUCUGGGUCCUGCCUGAAUAUGCAUCCCUGAGAGAUGAGAGACUGGGUUUGCUGAGGUCAGAGGUGGCCUUGUUUAUCUUUGCAAAUCCCGCCUGGCCAGUAUGGACCUUAACCAACAGCAUAUAAAUAAUACUUUCCUACUAAAAUGAAUUGAAUCAUCAGCUUCUUUCCCCUCCUCCCCAUGCGUAUUCCCAGGACCCAAGUCUGAAAUGGUUUUCCAGUCUGUUAUCUGCACUGCCGUUCCCUUUGUGCAGGUUUCUGGUACUGCUGUCUGCCUCUGGUACGGUAAAAACCUGGCUGGGACCCUCGUCUCCAGUGCCCUCCCCACCUAAACAGCUUUCCACAGUGUGAUCCAAAGAUGAUCAUUUUAUUUCCCAGCUUAAAGGCCUUCAGCUUCCCUUGGCCUUCCUCACAGCCUUCAGUACGGCAUUCAAAGCCUUUUCAACCUGACUGCAAUGCUGUUCUCCUGUUUCAUUUCAGCUGCUCCUCCCCAUUUCCCUGACUCUGCUCCCCAGCCCACAACCAUCCCUCACGUCCAGCUCCUACGGGAGAAAGCCUAAGAGGGGCCCGGCCCCACUGCCGCGGAUGUCCUUCCCGGUCCCUGACCACCCCUGGGAACUCCGUUCCCGUGUCGCACCCUCUUUGAAGCCUUCCCAGACUCCUCUGAGGCAAUGACUGCUUCCUCCCCUGAGCUCCUGUAGCAUUCGGAUCAGAUCUUUAUUGUAGCAUUUGUUCUAUGAUAACCCCAAGCGCAGGUCACACGCACCCACUCACAAUUGUUGUGUGUGAGCUCAUCAAGAGCAGGGCUGUGUUUCUGGGUUUCAUUCAUAUUUAUAUCCUCUCCAGUGCCAAGCAUAUAGUAACUGUUCAGUGUGUUUUUGUUAACUGAAUAAAGUUUAUUUUAUUUCAGCUUGGCAUAGGUUUGAAGACCUGGUUUCAAGUGCUCACAGUACCAGGUGAGAGCCUAUGUGACUGCACGCAAUUUAUUUUCUCUCUCCAAAGUCAGUUUCUAUCACUUAUAAAAUGGGGUUAAAAAGUACAGCAUAGGGAAUACGUCCAUUAUAUUGUAACAUCUCUGUAAGUUGAUGGCUGGUAACUACACUUACAGUGGUGAGCAUUUAGCACUGUAUGUAAGUGUCAAAUCACUAUAUUAUACACCUGCAAUGACACAGAGUCAUCCUUUGCAGCAUUCCUGCUUCCUCUCUCCCCAUGACUGAUAUAAAAGCCAACACCCAGGGCUGUUUAUAGAGCAGGCACUAUGACAGGCCGCAGGUAGAAGUUGCUAGAUUUUCAUAUCAUGUUUCAGGAGGCUAGUGAGGGGAGAUUGAUAGUAAGUAAGCAUUCUAAAAAAAGUCCUUUUAGCAAACAGUUUUUGAGAUGGCAAGAGAAGGAUAUGUUUUUAAAGAAAAUAUAGGUAUUUAAAAAUAGAAACUAUACUAUUCAGGGUCGGCUGCAAGGCCCUCUCUGCUGCUAGUUCAAGCCUGGUUACUGAUGCCAGCAAACCACGUAUGAGCUGGAUAAGGCCUCUUUCAUUUCGGUUAAGAAAGAAUGCCAAGCUGGGCACUGCGGACUGGGAAUGGAAACCCUGCCCCUGUCUGCUAGGUUCUAAGAGCUUAUUAUACUAGCUUUGGGCAAAGGAAGUUAUUUAUAACCAAACCAUGGUAUGUAAAAAAGUGGUAAACUCCUGGGAAAAAAAAGGCUAAGAGUUCAGGGAAGCUGUGCAAUAUUUAGAUUGUUUGAACCAAUACAAACAAACAAAAACCAAAGCAGUUAAAAAAACAAAAA
Manis pentadactyla (Chinese pangolin) is the source of this 2312-nucleotide long non-coding RNA. RefSeq lists it as uncharacterized. The transcript has 2 exons. The record is from RefSeq and is a predicted model, not a curated record. Lineage: Eukaryota; Metazoa; Chordata; Mammalia; Pholidota; Manidae.